AUUAUGAGUUUCACUUUUGAUUAUCUUAAUGUGCUAUACGUGUGCUAUGGUAAUUUUAAAAAUUAUUUGUUUUCAUUCUUAGGAUAUUUACAAGAAUACCCACAAAAAAUGAAGAAGGAACCUAUUGAUAAGAUCUCAAACAGACGUGUCUCUAUUUUUACACCUGGUUGGGAUAUAUCUGUCGGAGUAAAAACUACUGAUCUAAGCCAACUGAUUCUCAAAGAGUGGAAAAAGAAGAAGCAUGAGCAGUAUGUAUCCUAAAUUAUAUACAAAUUUGUUACAAGAAAUCUAACAUUAUAUAUACCUUCAAUAUAUAGGCGGCGCAUGAAAAAGGCUAUGGAAGAAUUAAAACCUUCAACAACUCCUCAGAUCAUACGUAUUUGGAAUAAAGUCCAACAAAUAAGAAAAAAGAUUAACAGUGGCCAAACAACUUUUCUAAAUAUAGUAAGUCUUCUCUUAUUUUCAUACAAAAGUAUACUAUAAAUUCAAAUUGCAUUCAAUUUUCAAAUAUAAAUAAAAUUGCAUUUUUUGUCAGUUUUACAAGCAUCACACCCGUCUCAAAGUACAAAGGUUGAAGUACAAGAUUAAGUAUUCUACAAGUAACUGGAGUAAAAGUAUUGCCAUGAGAAAAUUGUCAAACUUAAAGAUUAACCAUGAAAAUCUAAAGCAUCAAGUGCAAGCAAAUGGGUGGCAAGCAUGACUUUGAUUUCACACGUAGGCGCUAUGUUUACAUAUGUACAUGUUGUACAUAUUUUGCUUUGCUUCAUAUAUUAGGAGUUCAUCCCUAGCUAGCCUAUAACUUUGAUUGAAAACUUAUAAAUCUGAAACAAUUUGAUUUAAGGACAUUAAGUGUUGUCAAUAUGUAUUUAGAAAUCAAAUUACAUGUCAUAUUUUCAUAUUUUUUUUAUUUAUAAAUAGUAUAUGUUUUCCCA
Pyrus x bretschneideri (Chinese white pear) is the source of this 932-nucleotide long non-coding RNA. RefSeq lists it as uncharacterized. Lineage: Eukaryota; Viridiplantae; Streptophyta; Magnoliopsida; Rosales; Rosaceae. The transcript has 4 exons. The record is from RefSeq and is a predicted model, not a curated record.